GACAGAGGAUGCAAACGUUGCUCGGAUUUACUGGGCGUAAAGCGCGCGUAGGCGGAUCUGCAAGUCGGGGGUGAAAUCCCGAGGCUCAACCCAGGAACUGCCCCUCCAAACUGCUUGGCUUGAGUCCGGGAGAGGUGAGUGGAAUUCCCAGUGUAGCGGUGAAAUGCGUAGAUAUUAGGGGAGGAACACCCAGUGGGCGAAGGCGGCUCACUGGACCGGAAC
This 222-nucleotide ribosomal RNA is filed under the name uncultured bacterium. RNAcentral describes it as "partial 16S ribosomal RNA". It matches the Rfam family "Bacterial small subunit ribosomal RNA", at positions 524 to 740 of the family's 1533-position model. The record is from RNAcentral.